AUUGAACGCUGGCGGCAGGCCUAACACAUGCAAGUCGGACGAGCGGCGGACGGGUGAGUAAUGUAUGGGGAACUGCCUGAUGGAGGGGGAUAACUACUGGAAACGGUAGCUAAUACCGCAUACCAUCAGAUGCACCCAGAUGGGAUUAGCUUGUUGGUAGGGUAACGGCUCACCAAGGCGACGAUCCCUAGCUGGUCUGAGAGGAUGACCAGCCACACUGGAACUGAGACACGGUCCAGACUCCUACGGGAGGCAGCAGUGGGGAAUAUUGCACAAUGGGCGCAAGCCUGAUGCAGCCAGGCCGCGUGUAUGAAGAAGGCCUUCGGGUUGUAAAGUACUUUCAGCGGGGAGGCGUUACCCGCAGAAGAAGCACCGGCUAACUCCGUGCCAGCCGCCGCGGUAAUAC
This 406-nucleotide ribosomal RNA is filed under the name uncultured bacterium. Its description in RNAcentral is "partial 16S ribosomal RNA". It matches the Rfam family "Bacterial small subunit ribosomal RNA", at positions 30 to 526 of the family's 1533-position model. The record is from RNAcentral.